AUGCUGUCUUUGCAGGCAACAGUCAGCACUUUCUCUGAAUACCCAGUCCACAUCCAGGAAAAACUGGCUCAGAUGGGUUGGUAUGAAUGUUUCGGGCCUGGAAGAGUGGUCAUCAGGCAAGGCCAUAUCCCGCAGAAUUUCUAUUUGAUUCUCUCAGGCACAGCUGUGGUCACCAAGGUGGCUGUCAACAAACAGACAGGAGAGCUUUAUGCCAACACGGUUGCCUUUCUGAAGAAAGGGAAAUAUUUUGGGGAUGUUGCCAUCUUGACGGGCGCUAGGAGAAACGCCACAGUUAUCUGUCAUGAUACUGUUUCCCUGUUGGCUGUUUCUAGACAGGCCAGGAACAGUCAUUACAAAGGAUUCAAAGGCAUCAUCCAAAAUUUAUGUGAUCAAAACAGUAAGUAAAUCCAUAAUAUUUACCGCUAGGGAGGUAUC
This 435-nucleotide long non-coding RNA is filed under the name Chrysemys picta bellii (western painted turtle). RNAcentral describes it as "lncRNA (ENSCPBG00000019752.1)". The record is from RNAcentral. Lineage: Eukaryota; Metazoa; Chordata; Testudines; Emydidae.